RNAcentral lists this ribosomal RNA (301 nucleotides) under uncultured bacterium. RNAcentral describes it as "partial 16S ribosomal RNA". It matches the Rfam family "Bacterial small subunit ribosomal RNA", at positions 509 to 807 of the family's 1533-position model. The record is from RNAcentral.
CAGUCGCCGCGGUAAUACGAAGGGGGCUAGCGUUGUUCGGAUUUACUGGGCGUAAAGCGCACGUAGGCGGAUCCUUAAGUCAGAGGUGAAAUCCCAAGGCUCAACCUUGGAACUGCCUUUGAUACUGGGGAUCUCGAGUUCGGGAGAGGUGAGUGGAACUGCGAGUGUAGAGGUGAAAUUCGUAGAUAUUCGCAAGAACACCAGUGGCGAAGGCGGCUCACUGGCCCGAUACUGACGCUGAGGUGCGAAAGCGUGGGGAGCAAACAGGAUUAGAUACCCCCGUAGUCCCUGUCUCUUAUAC